This is a long non-coding RNA of Phyllostomus discolor (pale spear-nosed bat), 855 nucleotides long. RefSeq lists it as uncharacterized. Lineage: Eukaryota; Metazoa; Chordata; Mammalia; Chiroptera; Phyllostomidae. The record is from RefSeq and is a predicted model, not a curated record. The transcript is spliced from 2 exons.
AUGGGUUUGUUGCCAGAACACAGGUGUCAAGAAAACCACCAAUAAAUCAAAGGCAAAAAUGGAAAAGGAAAAGACUCACAUCAACAUUGUGGUCAUUUGGACACAUAAAUUCCAACAAGUCUACCACUACUGGCCAUUUGAUCUAGCAGAUGUGGUGGAAUCAACAAAAGAACCAUUGAAAAAUUUGAGGAGACUGCUCAGAUGGGGAAGGGUUCCUUCCAGUAUGCCUGAGUCUUGGAUAAACUGAAAGCUGAAUGUGAGUGUGUUUUCAGCAUUGAUAUCUCUCUGUGGAAAUUCAAAACCAGCAAGUAUUAUGUGACCAUCAUUGAUGUCCCAGGAUAGAGACUUUAUCAAAACAUAAUUAUAGGCACAUCUCAGGCUGACUGUGCUGUCCUGAUUGUUGCUUGCCAGUGUUGGUGAGUUUGAAGCAGGAUGUCUACAAAAUUGGUGGCAUUGGUACUAUCCCUGUGGGCCAAGUGGAGACUGGCAUUCUCAAACCUGGCAUGGUGGUCACCUUUGCUACAGUCCAACAUUACAACUGAAGUAAAGUCUGUUGAAAUGCACCAUGAAGCUUGAGUGAAGCUCUUCCUGGGGACAGUGUGGGCUUCAAUAUCUAGAAUAUGUCUGUCAAAGGUGUUCACCGUGGCAAUGUGGCUGGUGAUAGCAAAAAUGAUAAAAAAUGGAAGCUGCUGGCUUUUACAGCUCAGGUGAUUAUCCUCAACCAUCCAGGCCAAAUCAAUGCUGGUUAUGCACCUGUGCUGGAUUGUCACCCAGCUCAUACUGUUUGCAAAUUUGCUGAGCUGAAGGAGAAGAUUGAUUGUUGCUCUAGGAAAAAGCUGGAAGAUGGCCCAAAGU